RNAcentral lists this small RNA (832 nucleotides) under Pongo abelii (Sumatran orangutan). Its description in RNAcentral is "retained intron". The record is from RNAcentral. Lineage: Eukaryota; Metazoa; Chordata; Mammalia; Primates; Hominidae.
UCCCAGCGCACGCCGCCGCCGGGGCCGCGCUAUUCCGAAAUUGGGUCCGCCCUCGCGUCGCCCCGGGCCUGCUCCUACGCUCUUCGCUGGUCCCUCACCUCCGCCUCCCCCCGACGCAGCCCGAGCCCAUCCGCCCCCCAGGUCGACCCGCGUUGACCUCAGGGCGAGGUCUAGGCGCUCGGCCCCACCGCAGGUUCCUAGGUCCCCGUCACUCUGCCGCCAAGUUCCCCAACACGGACUCCGUGCGCUUUGAGGUGUUACGGGGGCGCUGGAGCACUGGCUCCGCUGGCCCUGCCAGGAGGCGGGGGCGAAGCAGGGAGCGACCCGGGAUGCGUUCCUCUGGCCGGCCUGCGCCCCUGCAGCAUCCACUCCUCGCCUCUGCUGGCCUCGGCCCUCCCUCACUGCGUUCACCUGAGCCCACCCGAGCCGACAGUGGCGCUCUAAGCAACGCUGCGAGACAGGUACUGUAUUUGUCUCCAUUUUACAGAAGAGGAAACUGAGACUCAGAGGGGUUAAGGGCCUCAACUCAGGUCCCACAGUCAGCAAGUUGUGGAACUGUGAGGCAGCUGUGCUGAGCCUGUAUCCAUAGCUCUCCUCGGAUCCUUCCAUCAGCCCCUCUCCCCCACCCCUCCAGGGAGAAGCUCGGCAACGUGGAGUCGGUUUAUGUCAUCGACCCUGAAGAUGUGGCCCUUCUCUUUAAGUCCGAGGGCCCCAACCCAGAACGAUUCCUCAUCCCGCCCUGGGUCGCCUAUCACCAGUAUUACCAGAGACCCAUAGGAGUCCUGUUGAAGAAGUCGGCGGCCUGGAAGAAAGACCGGGUGGCCCUGAACCA